RNAcentral lists this long non-coding RNA (253 nucleotides) under Brassica napus (rape). RNAcentral's name for it is "long non-coding RNA (BNAP_LNC018768)". Lineage: Eukaryota; Viridiplantae; Streptophyta; Magnoliopsida; Brassicales; Brassicaceae. The record is from RNAcentral.
AAUCAAAGUGACACAUAGAUUAUUAAUUAAAAACAUUAAAUUAAAUAAAAGAUAGUUACAAAAAAUAAAAACGCUAAUUUUAACGACGCUAACACUUCCGGCUAAACCCUAAAUCUUAAAUUCUAAACCCUAUACCCUAAAUUCUAAACUCAAAUCCAAACCCCUAUACCUUAAACCCUAAUCCUAGACCCUAAACCCAAAAACUAGACUAUAAACCUAAACUCUAUACCCUAAACCCAAAUCUUAGACCCUA